Molecule: non-coding RNA, 1390 nt
Organism: Arachis ipaensis
Lineage: Eukaryota; Viridiplantae; Streptophyta; Magnoliopsida; Fabales; Fabaceae
Source: RefSeq, a predicted model, not a curated record
CCGAGUUUACGCCAUUGUAAAUUCCGUCAACGCAGUGCACAAGGCGAGUGGUGUUGUCACUUGUCACCUCUUUUCUUUGAAUUUCCACCAACCCUUCCACUCUGUCUUUGAGUUUGACUCUCACAACAGAAAAAAACAAGAACCAUGGUGGACCAUUUCAUUGUUUGCAUUGAUCGUAUAAUACCUUCCACCUCUUGUUUACCAUCACCGCCGCACCAUGAUCAUGUUCCAGAACAAGAACAAGCCUGCUCCUCCUCCAAUUCUUCCUCUUCAAAUUACAAGCGUCACGAUGAUGAUGUGGUUGUGGAGUGUAGAAUAUGUCAGGAGGAAGAUCAAAUCCAUUUCAUGGAGGCCCCUUGUUCCUGUAAUGGCACUCUCAAGUUUGCUCAUAGAAAGUGCAUCCAAAAGUGGUGCAACAAGAAAGGAAAUACAAUAUGUGAAAUCUGCAAUCAGGUAUUUUCACCAAACUAUUCUCUUCCAAUAGUCAGAAGCAACGACAUUAUAGCAAUUGAUCUAAGGCAAGAAUGGGAGCGUAAUACAGAUCUUCGUGUUGCUCUAACAUCAGCAGAGAACCAGUUAAUGCAAAGAGAAUAUGAAGAAUAUGCUAUCACACAAACCAGUAGCAUCGCUUGCGUCCGCUGUGCCACUCUCAUUUUGCUGAUAGUCUUGCUUGUACGCCAAGCCUUAAUGGUUACAACGAACUCUGCAACCAGGCGCGAUUCAUCAAGAAUGUUUGAUUGUAUCUGGAUACGAUGAAGGAUGUACACAAAGGUGAUAGAUCAAAGAGUUCAAAAGAAGGAUAUAUACGAAAUUAAAGAAGAAUUGAAUGCUUUUUGUCCUUUUCAGCCAAAUUGUUUAGCCUUUAGUAGUUUGUGUCGAUGUGUGUCGUGACAAAUUGAUAAUAGGACAGGCACAGAACAGCUUCAAGUUCCGAAAUAGUAAAGUGAUAUUAAGGUUUAGAGUUUAGACACCGGUUAAUUUAGUAAUUUGAACUUGAAUUGAAUGAUGUGCUAGUUGCUAACAUGGAAUGGUGAAUGGCAGUUUGAGAUGUCACUUCUUCAAUUUGCCGGCAUUCUUUUCCCGUGUUGCGCAAUGGCACGUUCCUGGUAUCUCAUACAGAACAGAAGAAGACAGGGGUAAGCAAGGGAAGAGUACACAGAUGCUGAUAAUUUCCUUUUCUUUUUUUGGGUCAACAUUUUCCUUGGUUAUCAGAGAAAAAUUGUAGAAGUUACAUAUAGAAGCUACAUGGCUUUUUGUAUGUCAAAUACUCAAAUGUAUUGAAUUUGUACAUUGUGUUAGAUGAUUAAAAAAAUAAAUAAUAAUGUGAUGGGAUCUUUAUGGGAAAUGAGCAAAUAGCUAAUUUCAGUGUGGCAUUUAAGCCAUGGAGCAA